This is a long non-coding RNA of Mastomys coucha (southern multimammate mouse), 368 nucleotides long. RefSeq lists it as uncharacterized. The transcript is spliced from 2 exons. Lineage: Eukaryota; Metazoa; Chordata; Mammalia; Rodentia; Muridae. The record is from RefSeq and is a predicted model, not a curated record.
GCCAGAGGGAGUGGAACACCAGGAGAAGGCAGAGCUCUGAACCAACUAAGCAAGGAGCAUGCAUGUUUUAGAAUGCUGACACAGCAGUAAGGACUCCAACCAUGCGCACAGCUGGCCUGGAGAGAGUAAACUGCCAAGUAGCCCUGGGCUGAAGGUCUGAGGUCAGAAUCCACGCCUCCCAGCUUCUUCUAGCUCAUUGGUUGAGCGUAUCAUUUACUCUCUUAAUCUCUGAAGAUGGUGUUAGCACAUAUUCCUACAUUAAGAUAAUUCAUUUUCCUUAUCAGGAAAAGGAGAGAAAUUUUGGGGUGGAGGGGAUGUAUGUGACCAGUUCAUCCCUACCAUUGCCUAUUAAAGACUCUCAUCUUCUA